RNAcentral lists this non-coding RNA (229 nucleotides) under Priestia megaterium. Its description in RNAcentral is "Bacillus megaterium T-box sequence". It matches the Rfam family "T-box leader". From Rfam's summary of the family: Uncharged tRNA acts as the effector for transcription antitermination of genes in the T-box leader family. T-boxes are found upstream of many aminoacyl-tRNA synthetase genes and some amino acid biosynthetic genes usually in Gram-positive bacteria. The record is from RNAcentral. Lineage: Bacteria; Bacillati; Bacillota; Bacilli; Caryophanales; Bacillaceae.
AUACAAGCAAUGAAAAGGACAUGAAUCAUUUUUGAAUUUUCUUUACAGAGAGUAGGGUCACUGGCUGAGAACCCUUAGAAAACGAAAUGAAUUUACCACCUUGGAGCUGCGGCGGGGAAUGUGUAUACACUGAAACCGCAACCGGUAAAACCGUUAUCUUUUUAAGCGUAAAAUACGUAUGGGUAUUUUACGGAAUUAGGGUGGUACCACGGCCGCAUUCGUCCCUUUA